AGCGAACGCUGGCGGCAGGCUUAACACAUGCAAGUCGAACGGGCCUCUUCGGAUGUCAGUGGCAGACGGGUGAGUAACACGUGGGAACGUACCCUUCGGUUCGGAAUAACUCAGGGAAACUUGAGCUAAUACCGGAUACGCCCUUUUGGGGAAAGGUUUACUGCCGAAGGAUCGGCCCGCGUCUGAUUAGCUUGUUGGUGGGGUAACGGCCUACCAAGGCGACGAUCAGUAGCUGGUCUGAGAGGAUGAUCAGCCACACUGGGACUGAGACACGGCCCAGACUCCUACGGGAGGCAGCAGUGGGGAAUAUUGGACAAUGGGCGCAAGCCUGAUCCAGCCAUGCCGCGUGAGUGAUGAAGGCCUUAGGGUUGUAAAGCUCUUUUGUCCGGGACGAUAAUGACGGUACCGGAAGAAUAAGCCCCGGCUAACUUCGUG
Molecule: ribosomal RNA, 435 nt
Filed under: uncultured bacterium
Lineage: Bacteria
Description: partial 16S ribosomal RNA
Rfam family: Bacterial small subunit ribosomal RNA
Source: RNAcentral